AGGUAAAGAAUCCACCUGCCAGGGCAGGCUAAACAUUCGCUAUAUUAAGACCAUGCAUGUGUCCCCAGACCUAGUUCUUUGCCUAGGUCUGGUUUUAUAAAUGCUGGUGAUAAAC
This 115-nucleotide small nucleolar RNA is filed under the name Moschus moschiferus (Siberian musk deer). Its description in RNAcentral is "Small nucleolar RNA SNORA72 (ENSMMSG00000008094.1)". It matches the Rfam family "Small nucleolar RNA SNORA72". From Rfam's summary of the family: U72 is a member of the H/ACA class of snoRNAs. The record is from Rfam by way of RNAcentral. Lineage: Eukaryota; Metazoa; Chordata; Mammalia; Artiodactyla; Moschidae.